RNAcentral lists this unclassified non-coding RNA (320 nucleotides) under plant metagenome. Its description in RNAcentral is "partial contains 5.8S ribosomal RNA, internal transcribed spacer 2, and large subunit ribosomal RNA". The stretch from base 1 to 105 matches the Rfam family "5.8S ribosomal RNA", at positions 50 to 154 of the family's 154-position model. The record is from RNAcentral.
GAAAUGCGAUAAGUAAUGUGAAUUGCAGAAUUCAGUGAAUCAUCGAAUCUUUGAACGCACAUUGCGCCCGCCAGUAUUCUGGCGGGCAUGCCUGUUCGAGCGUCAUUACAACCCUCAGGCCCCCGGGCCUGGCGUUGGGGAUCGGCGGAAGCCCCCUGCGGGCACAACGCCGUCCCCCAAAUACAGUGGCGGUCCCGCCGCAGCUUCCAUUGCGUAGUAGCUAACACCUCGCAACUGGAGAGCGGCGCGGCCACGCCGUAAAACACCCAACUUCUGAAUGUUGACCUCGAAUCAGGUAGAAAUACCCGCUGAACUUAAGC